AAUAAAAAAGGAUUACAGGCCCCUAGAAGGACACAGCAUCAUCAGCGUGCAAUCCAGCCCAUGGUUUCUUAGAUACCGUAUUGUCUAUUCUGUUCCGCUAUGUGAAAAAUGUUGAAUAUCAACAAUGGGUUUCAGUGCUGCAUUGUUGAGUUUUGUAUGAACUAAUCUAGCUUCACUAAAAAAAAAAUAAAGAAGAAAAAAAAAGAAAAAGAAGGAAAGAAAGAAGAAAUAAAGGGAAAGAAAAAAAAAGACAGCUUUGAACAAAAGUCCACAGCCAGUGUGUUCCAAGUCCCUGCUCAGGGCUGACUGUGGCAGGGGACACUCUCCUGCUGGCUCUCUCUGUCCACACUUAGCUGGCUCCUGUCCUCAGGUGCACGGCCACACCCUUGCACCCAACCUUGAUCCUCUGAUGGGGAAGGUCCCAGGACUUGUCUGCUGGGACAGGCCUCACCCCCAAGAGCUCUGGGCAGUACUGAGAAGCAAACCUGACAGAUUUCUCCAGAACAGUGGCCAUCCAUGGGAUGAGUGAAAGCCUCUUUCUAUUCCAGGGAUUGCAGAGGCAAAGCUAGACUAGGUCUUGGAGGCUGGUGUAAGGCGGUGCGCGGAAGGCAGGACGCUGAUGGGAGAGACUGGUCGAAGAAAAGCCGAAAUGGAUUCUCCGUGCUUUGGAUGGAGAAAGAGGGGGGAAGUGCGAGCUCCUUCAACUCGUUCUGUCCGGUGAGGAGUGAUCCAGCUUGGGCUGACGAGAGGCUCCGGAGCCUUCACGUUCAGUGCUUUUUACCUGCCAAUCAAACUGCUACAAGACAACACCCUGAUCUGGCAUGGUCGCCGCGGGUCCAAGCCUGUAGUCCCAAAUCGGAAAAUCUCUGCAGCUGGUACACGCAAAAGAGAAGCCAGGCAACAGACAUAUUACAGAAGAAAGCUCUCGACUCCGAGGUAGAUAUUUCGCAUUGUGCGCUCUCAUCACAUUUGGACAUGAUUGUGCUUUUGAUCUGUUAACUGUUUUACUACAGUAGUAGAGAGGGGGGGAGGAGAGAGGGUGGGGAAAGGAGAUUGGAUUUGCUGUUUUCUUUUGCUCCAGGAAAAGUAAGAGGCUGGCGACGUCCUCGGUUGGAGCGGAAAAGUUGGGGGAACCGCCGUGGUCUUUAAGUUCAACCAGCGGCUCUGGCGUAGCCGAGGAAGUCGCUGGCCCGCUUUGCUUUUUUUCUUUUUUCUUUUUUUUUUAAUUGGCUCCUGGUUUCGGUCAUCUUCUAUCCAAAGGCACCAAGAACCAGAAAUGGGGCGUCCUUGUGAGUUCUGCAUUGCUUCUUAUUUCUAGAGCGUCCACUAGCUGCAUCUCUGCAGAAGUUAGGAUCCCGGGGCGCUUUCUGCCCUUCAGCCGAGUACCGGCCGCCGCCAGUUCUCUCAGCCUCUAGGCCU
Molecule: long non-coding RNA, 1419 nt
Filed under: Mus spicilegus (steppe mouse)
Lineage: Eukaryota; Metazoa; Chordata; Mammalia; Rodentia; Muridae
Description: lncRNA (ENSMSIG00000012166.1)
Rfam family: SOX2 overlapping transcript exon 3 (bases 558-829)
Source: RNAcentral